This is a long non-coding RNA of Apodemus sylvaticus (European woodmouse), 2805 nucleotides long. RefSeq lists it as uncharacterized. The record is from RefSeq and is a predicted model, not a curated record. The transcript has 3 exons. NCBI's taxonomy places the organism in Eukaryota, Metazoa, Chordata, Mammalia, Rodentia, Muridae.
UCUCCUACAUGCAUCCGGGACAAGGAGGCUAGGUCCAGCUCUCAUGUGUGCUGUGGUUGGUGGUUCAGUCUCUGGGAGUCCCCAGCAGUACAUACUCUUAAUCCCUAAACCACUCUCCCGUUUUAAAUUUUUAAAAUUUUUUAUUCAUCUUACGUGUAUGUUACUGUGUGUACUGUGGCUUGUAUGAAGAUCAGAGGACAGCUCUUAAGAAUUCUUUCCUUCCACCAUGUGGAUCUUGGGAAUUAAACUUAGGACAUCAAAUGUGCAAAAGGCGGCUCACCAGCCCUGUAGUUUUAAACUACAACUUGGCUUGCCUAGGGUGCAGGAAGUUAGGAGUUCAAAACCAAGUGGGGUAGGUAACUUAGAUGCCUAUAAUCCCAGUAUUCAGAAGUAGAGACAAGAGGUCAUCCUUGGCUGCAUAGCCAGUUUGUGCCCAACUUUAAACUAUGUAAGUUUUAACUAAUUUCAAAAUAUAUUCUAAUGAUAUAUCCCUUCCUGCCAUCCUUAGAACUUAGAAUCCCUGGAACUUAGUAUAUAAGACCUGCAUCCUCUAAGAUACUAGGAUCUUUCAAAAGAAUGGAAUAAUGGGGGGGGGGGGGGAGUAGCCCCAGUUGACACCAAACUUGGUAUGGAGCUGAGGCUGACCUUAAAUCUUAAUGUCCUACUCUACCUCUGAAAGGCUGUGAUUAUAGGCAUAUGCGGCCAAAACCAGAUUGACAAAACGUUUCUGAUGUAGGGGCUGGAGAGAAGGCUGCAGUUAAGAGUACUUGUUCUUGCAGAGAGACAGGGUUGCAUUCCUAGCACCUACAUACAUGUAACUCCUGUUUUAGGGAGGUCUGAUUCCUUCUGGCUUCUGCAGGUACCAGGUAUGCAUGUGGUACAAUGACAUUCAGGCAGGGAAAACAAAUCUAAAAAUUUUUUAAAGUUUCUAAAGCAGAUUAGAAUGUUUUCAAACUGAGUAAAUCAAAGGCACACUAAGCAUCUUAAUAAUUAUGUUCUAAGUUGAUUUAUUGCCCAUGUCUGAUAUACAGACUUAGUUGGUGAACCAGUCCAGGCCUUGGGUGCGUGCUCUAGCUGAUAAGAGGAGUUCCCUCCUAGACCCUCUGUUUCCUCAUGAAUUGUAAAGAUUAGGUCAAGUGACCUUUUACAACUAAGUUUGAUAUUCAAGAGACUCUGUACAAAUAGAUACAGAGUGGAAGUUUGUCCAUAACUUACCAUGAACCACUGCUUCCUUCCCAGCUGCCUGCCUUCUUGAGCUCGGGAGGGGAGGCUUGCAUCUGAUACAUACCAAAGCCUUGCGGACCAGCAACGGGCUAGACUCCUUCUAUUCAAGCUUAUGAAGCAUUCAAGAAUCUGUGGUUAAGAUAACUGUAUUCGAAGCAGUAGGUAUUUGCUGACCAUGCCCCAGGUCCUGCCCUAGAGUAAACUGGUGGGUAAGCCUGCUUCGAGUAACAGGCUUUUCUCAAAAGUACCUCACCAAACCAAUUCAAGAGGGAAGACUUGUUUUGGUCCACUGUUUGAGGGCAUCCAGUCCUUCGUGGUCUAGAGCGCAUGCUAUGGCAGCUAAAGAACUGGAGGAGAAGUGGGGGACUGGAGGAGGCAGUGGCAGUGAUCCCAGCUCCUCCAAGCUUUGAACUGGGAAGCAAAGAAAAGACUGGAAGCAGGGCCAGGAAGCAGGGAAAUGGACCAGAGGAAGGGACCUACCUGCUCAAGACCUCAAAGGCUGGCCCCAGUGGCCGACAUCUACCAGCUGGGCUACCUGUCUCAAAGGCUCCAAAGCCUCCAAAAAUAGUGCCACCAGCUGGGAAUCAAGGGUUCAAACAUACGAACCUGUGGGAGGUUCAGAUUCGAGCUGUAACAGGAGAGCGUGUGCUCAUUAUGAGACUCCUAGUGUCCUGCCCUGCCGUGAUGAAAGUCAUAGUUACCACUGCAGCCUAAAUGGAUAUUCUGAAGCCUAUGUUCAUUUUUGUCAAAACUCUACCAUUAUAAGCAACUCAAGAACAAAGAGUACACAGGUCUCUGGGACAGAAGAGGGACAGUUUCAACUGUUUUUCGCUGAGAAGAGUCAUCUACAGACCAGCUCAAGGAAUCAAGCCAUAAACCUUAAGUCACAUAAUAACGGUGAGCCCUCCAGAAUAACAGCAGAUUUGUCAGUUGAAGAUUUUAAAUCCAGGAAGGCUUGGAAUGGUAUAUUUCCAAUUCUGGAAGGUAAUAACUCUCAGGCGAACCAUACGGCUGCUGGACGUGCGCCUCUACUGUCACUUCAAUGCCAGCUUCUGGCGAAAAGUGGAGGCCUUCGGGUGUGAGCACAUGGCGCUCGAGGUAGCCAAGCUGCAUAGAUAUUGGCCAAGCGGUUGGUGCUGAGGCCAUCCAGGACUCAGUCAUACAGCCCCGGCAGCCCCUGGGCGUCAAGUCCAUCGGGUUACAACCUCAAGAAGAGCAUCCGGCCGCAACACGAGCAGCUCUGCCAGCGCAUGCUCACACCCGAAAUCCAGUACCCGUCUGACCUCGGUGCCAAUCUCUGGGUCACCAAGCUCUGGAAGUUCCUUAGGGACUUUCUAAGGUGGUGACAUAUGCUGCCCACCUCCUGUUUGGCUUCCUGGUACAGAAGGGCUGGGCAGGGAGUCUCUGGCACCUAGCCUUUCCCAGCCACGCCUAGUGCCACCUUGGUGUCCCCAAGGUCAUAGCUAUCUGGGGCUGGUGUCUCUGAACGAGAGGGCCUAACGGAGAGGUAUUUGACUAAUUAUGCCUUUUUUUAAUUUCCAGCCUCCUCUUACAAGAGGCGACUCAGACGUAAAUUUGAAA